GGCAGCUACCAUGCAGUCGAGCGGAUGAAGAGAGCUUGCUCUCUGAUUCAGCGGCGGACGGGUGAGUAAUGCCUAGGAAUCUGCCUGGUAGUGGGGGACAACGUUUCGAAAGGAACGCUAAUACCGCAUACGUCCUACGGGAGAAAGUGGGGGAUCUUCGGACCUCACGCUAUCAGAUGAGCCUAGGUACGAUUAGCUAGUUGGUGAGGUAAAGGCUCACCAAGGCGACGAUCGUUAACUGGUCUGAGAGGAUGAUCAGUCACACUGGAACUGAGACACGGUCCAGACUCCUACGGGAGGCAGCAGUGGGGAAUAUUGGACAAUGGGCGAAAGCCUGAUCCAGCCAUGCCGCGUGUGUGAAGAAGGUCUUCGGAUUGUAAAGCACUUUAAGUUGGGAGGAAGGGCAGUAAGUUAAUACCUUGCUGUUUUGACGUUACCGACAGAAUAAGCACCGGCUAACUUCGUGCCAGCAGCCGCGGUAAUACGAAGGGUGCAAGCGUUAAUCGGAAUUACUGGGCGUAAAGCGCGCGUAGGUGGUUUUGUAAGUUGGAGGUGAAAUCCCCGGGCUCAACCUGGGAACUGCCUCCAAAACUGCAUGACUAGAGUACGGUAGAGGGUGGUGGAAUUUCCUGUGUAGCGGUGAAAUGCGUAGAUAUAGGAAGGAACACCAGUGGCGAACGCGACCACCUGGACUGAUACUGACACUGAGUGCGAAAGCGUGGGGAGCAAACAGGAUUAGAUA
RNAcentral lists this ribosomal RNA (742 nucleotides) under uncultured bacterium. Its description in RNAcentral is "bacterial SSU rRNA". It matches the Rfam family "Bacterial small subunit ribosomal RNA", at positions 45 to 784 of the family's 1533-position model. The record is from RNAcentral.